CCUACGGGCGGCUGCAGUGGGGAAUAUUGGACAAUGGGGGGAACCCUGAUCCAGCCAUGCCGCGUGUGUGAAGAAGGCCCUCGGGUUGUAAAGCACUUUCAGUGAGGAAGAACGCCUGGUGGUUAAUACCCAUCAGGAAAGACAUCACUCACAGAAGAAGCACCGGCUAACUCCGUGCCAGCAGCCGCGGUAAUACGGAGGGUGCGAGCGUUAAUCGGAAUUACUGGGCGUAAAGCGCGCGUAGGUGGCUUGAUAAGCCGGUUGUGAAAGCCCCGGGCUCAACCUGGGAACGGCAUCCGGAACUGUCAAGCUAGGGUGCAGGAGAGGAAGGUAGAAUUCCCGGUGUAGCGGUGAAAUGCGUAGAGAUCGGGAGGAAUACCAGUGGCGAAGGCGGCCUUCUGGACUGACACUGACACUGAGGUGCGAAAGCGUGGGUAGCAAACAGGAUUAGAUACCCGUGUAGUA
This 465-nucleotide ribosomal RNA is filed under the name Vreelandella stevensii. RNAcentral describes it as "partial 16S ribosomal RNA". It matches the Rfam family "Bacterial small subunit ribosomal RNA", at positions 338 to 795 of the family's 1533-position model. The record is from RNAcentral. Lineage: Bacteria; Pseudomonadati; Pseudomonadota; Gammaproteobacteria; Oceanospirillales; Halomonadaceae.